This 337-nucleotide unclassified non-coding RNA is filed under the name soil metagenome. RNAcentral's name for it is "partial contains 5.8S ribosomal RNA, internal transcribed spacer 2, and large subunit ribosomal RNA". The stretch from base 1 to 120 matches the Rfam family "5.8S ribosomal RNA", at positions 35 to 154 of the family's 154-position model. The record is from RNAcentral.
GAUGAAGAACGUAGCGAAAUGCGAUAAGUAGUGUGAAUUGCAGAAUUCAGUGAAUCAUCGAAUCUUUGAACGCACAUUGCGCCCCUUGGUAUUCCAUGGGGCAUGCCUGUUCGAGCAUCAUUUGUACCUUCAAGCUCUGCUUGGUGUUGGGUGUUUGUCUCGCCUCUGCGUGUAGACUCGCCUCAAAACAAUUGGCAGCCGGCGUAUUGAUUUCGGAGCGCAGUACAUCUCGCGCUUUGCACUCAUAACGACGACGUCCAAAAGUACAUUUUUACACUCUUGACCUCGGAUCAGGUAGGGAUACCCGCUGAACUUAAGCAUAUCAAUAAGCGGAGGA